RNAcentral lists this long non-coding RNA (550 nucleotides) under Elaeis guineensis (African oil palm). RNAcentral's name for it is "long non-coding RNA (EGUI_LNC055842)". The record is from RNAcentral. Lineage: Eukaryota; Viridiplantae; Streptophyta; Magnoliopsida; Arecales; Arecaceae.
AAGACCCUCUUCUUCUUCACGUUUUUCUCUCUAGACACCCAAACUUGCAUCUUUUAUAUCUCCACGACCCAAAGGUAUUUCUCUUUGAUUUUUGGAUGGCAUAAAGGCCUCUCAAAUAUCUAUCUUUUUCUAAAAUUUCACAAAGAAACUCAUCUUAUAUAGAGAGAUAUGAUAGAGUCAUUGUCUAGGUCAAACACCUAGUCAAGGCUUAUCCAAACAUGGCAAGUUAAGGGACGCCCAACUCUUGAGCACCUCCUUCAUAUUUUCAUGCAUGGAUCACCAGAAAAGGGUGCACAAUGUAUACUUUAAAAUCCAUGAAAAUUUUAAAAAAAAUUUGGAUAAAUUUGGUGCAAAAUUGAAAGAGUUUUGGAUUUCUAAAACUCUAUCUCAUAGAAUUCGAAAUCCAAACUUAUUCCUUUUAGAUUUGAUCCAAAUCACCUUCCAUGUAAGAAAGAAGAGAGGAGACCUUUUGUGAACGUGGGAGAGAUAUGGGAGAGGGCUUUUGUCACAUAAAAUAAGUGGAGAUUGGCGUUGAAUAAGAGAGAGGNNN